UACGGAGGGUGCAAGCGUUAUCCGGAUUCACUGGGUUUAAAGGGUGCGUAGGCGGUUUGUCGCGUCUGCUGUGAAAACUCGGGGCUUAACUCCGGGCCUGCAGUGGGUACGGGCAGACUAGAGUGCGGUAGGGGAGACUGGAAUUCCUGGUGUAGCGGUGAAAUGCGCAGAUAUCAGGAGGAACACCGGUGGCGAAGGCGGGUCUCUGGGCCGUAACUGACGCUGAGGAGCGAAAGCGUGGGGAGCGAACAGG
Molecule: ribosomal RNA, 253 nt
Filed under: uncultured bacterium
Lineage: Bacteria
Description: partial 16S ribosomal RNA
Rfam family: Bacterial small subunit ribosomal RNA
Source: RNAcentral